RNAcentral lists this long non-coding RNA (869 nucleotides) under Arabidopsis thaliana (thale cress). RNAcentral's name for it is "long non-coding RNA (ATHA_LNC000479)". The record is from RNAcentral. Lineage: Eukaryota; Viridiplantae; Streptophyta; Magnoliopsida; Brassicales; Brassicaceae.
CAAGAGAAGAACAUGUGAUCGUUCCACUGUGACGCCUGUAGCCCAACUUCAAACCUCAAAGAAGCUAGAAAGGAGCUUGUAGAUGACGCUGCAACGAAACACCAUCCAAAAGACAAGCACAACCCGUAACCUAGCCAAAAACAAAACCACCAAACGCCCAAGAGGACCCAGCAAAGCAGAAGAGCAAAGGACAUAAAGGCAAUUCCAUAACCAGAGAGAAACUGACUUGCGCAAAACACAAACCAAGAAGGAUCUCUGAGCUUAGCUAAUUCAAUUGGUUAAACGCAACAAAACAAACCUAAAACUAGGAAAAUUAACACAAACGAGCCAAGACUUAGCAAAACCAAGGACAAACUAUGAGCAGAGACUAAAUUACCCAACCAAAGGCAACCUAAUAUUAGCCUAAGACAGAAUCGAGACUACAUAGCUUCCACUAGAUCAGGUAUGUAUAAGAUGAAGAAACCAAACCUCCAUCUCCAAAAACAACUGCCGUAACAGUGAAGAACCACACGGGCUCCGACAAAAACACCAACCACCCACGGAGAACCAAGCGACACCAUCACUAGAACGGAACCAACCUUCCAAUCGAAGCACAACCAUCUAGAAUCUCGUCUUUAAUCCGCCAUAGGAGGAGCCAGAGAAGACCCAAAACAAAGGAAAAGCAAAUAAAAGACAAACAGACACACCCUCUCUGACUCCGGCCAAGGGCACCAGAUAAUCAGAAAGGUAACGUCAGAAAUUUGAGAAGAAAAGUUUGGUGGUGGCUAGACCUAAAAAAAUCGCCUCUCAAAGGCCGUAGAGCCAAACCUUUUUAUGUUAUAGAAAACUUUUUUGCGUUACAUUGAUAUUAAAAUUCUUCUAAACGAAAC